This 429-nucleotide ribosomal RNA is filed under the name Manouria impressa. RNAcentral describes it as "partial 12S ribosomal RNA". It matches the Rfam family "Bacterial small subunit ribosomal RNA", at positions 781 to 1404 of the family's 1533-position model. Lineage: Eukaryota; Metazoa; Chordata; Testudines; Testudinidae. The record is from RNAcentral.
GAUACCCCACUAUGCUUAGCCCUAAACCCAGAUAUUUCAACACACAAAAAUAUCCGCCAGAGAACUACGAGCUAGACGCUUAAAACUCUAAGGACUUGGCGGUACCUCAAACCCUCCUAGAGGAGCCUGUUCUAUAAUCGAUAAUCCACGAUCUACCCGACCACCUCUUGCCAAUACCGCCUAUAUACCACCGUCACCAGCUUACCCUAUGAAGGACAUAAAAGUAAGCAAAAUAGCCAACAGCUAACAAGUCAGGUCAAGGUGUAGCUAACUGAGAUGGAAGAAAUGGGCUACAUUUUCUACACUAGAAAUUAAACCACGGAAAGGAACUAUGAAACAAGUCCCAUAAGCAGGAUUUAGCAGUAAACUGGGAUCAGAAUACCCAAUUUAAGCCGGUCCUGAGGUGCGCACACACCGCCCGUCACCCUC